GAUCACGUAAAUCUUUAAUAGUCGAACAGACUAAAUUUCUUUAACUGCUUCACCAAAAAUUUCAUUUAAUUCAACAUCGAGGUCGCAAACCUAAUUAUUAAUAAGAACUUGCUAAUAAGAUAACGCUGUUAUCCCUAGAGUAACUUUAUAAACCUUUAGUAAACCUCAAAUAAAAAUAUAUCUCUUCCUCUAUUACCCCAAUAAAAAAUUAAUAUAAUUUUAAGCUUCUAGGGUCUUCUCGUCCCAAGGGUUCAUAAAAGCUUUCUUACUUUUAAAUCAAAUUCAAAUUAAAUUAAUAAAACUUUCCUUUUAGUUUAAACCUUUCAUUCCAGCCCCCAAUAAAAGAA
Molecule: ribosomal RNA, 347 nt
Filed under: Ferkeria flavicoxae
Lineage: Eukaryota; Metazoa; Arthropoda; Arachnida; Opiliones; Cosmetidae
Description: partial large subunit ribosomal RNA
Source: RNAcentral